This 245-nucleotide ribosomal RNA is filed under the name uncultured bacterium. RNAcentral describes it as "partial small subunit ribosomal RNA". It matches the Rfam family "Bacterial small subunit ribosomal RNA", at positions 26 to 285 of the family's 1533-position model. The record is from RNAcentral.
AGAAUCAACGCUGGCGGCGUGCCUAACACAUGCAAGUCGCACGGGAAAGGGGCUUCGGUCCUGAGUAAAGUGGCGCACGGGUGAGUAACACGUGACUAAUCUACCCUCGAGUGGGGAAUAACCUAGGGAAACCUGGGCUAAUACCGCAUAACACUUACGAGUCAAAGCAGCAAUGCGCUUGGGGAGGAGGUCGCGGCAGAUUAGCUAGUUGGUAGGGUAAUGGCCUACCAAGGCGAUGAUCUGUA